Long non-coding RNA from Selaginella moellendorffii, 2322 nucleotides. RefSeq lists it as uncharacterized. The record is from RefSeq and is a predicted model, not a curated record. The transcript has 7 exons. NCBI's taxonomy places the organism in Eukaryota, Viridiplantae, Streptophyta, Lycopodiopsida, Selaginellales, Selaginellaceae.
AGUGAUUAUUUAGGGCUAGGUUUAAGCAAGGCGCGCGCGACGAGAGGGAGGCGACGAGCGAUGGAGCGGCGCUUUUCUCAGGUCAGAGAGCGUCAAAAUCUCUGGGAUUCAUACAAAGAGAGCGAGCUACAUUUUCCUGUUUGUAGUGUUCUUCCCUUUUUUUUUUCGUUAUUUGGCGCUGGCGCCCUCCCGUUCGUCGUCGUCUGCUGAUCCCACAGUUGAGUCUCCAGAGUUUGCGUACCUUUGCAAGAAAAGGGAUGCGUGGCCGUGUUGGCCGUGGGGAAAAUUGAAGUCUAUUCGCCCCACGAAGGGAUGAGAGAAAAAAAAAAACUAUAUUGGUUGUUUUUUUCGGUUUUUGGACUUUUGGAAAUUCUUUUUUCUCUGGCUGCUGCUGCAGCAGCUGGUUCCUGGCUGCUACAGAUUGAUGACAGUCGAUUUGGUUCGCUGCAAUGUGGGUGAAAAUUCAACCUGUUUGUAUCUGUGAGGAUUCGAUCACAGUUUUUAGUGGAGUAGUAGCUAGUAGCAGCAGCAGAGCAGGAAAAACAAAGAGAUGGAUUGGAUUUAUUAGCUGGCGAGCUUGGAUUUGGGAGGAAUUCGACACAAGAGCAGAAAGAGUAGAAAUGGAAAAGUCCACCACCACUUUGAGCAUCUCGCAAGCCCGUAGCUACUUCACGAAACUCCACCACCAUGACCACCACGACCACCAGCAAAGCGAAGCGCGCAGAAACCAACAAAAGAGGCCACCAGCAGAUAGUUAGUGCACUCAGGACCACACUCUUGUCAGCGGGUCUCUCGACUUCCCUUUCUUCCUCCUAAGGUAGCAGCCGCGCCAGUGUCAUCAAGCAGCGAGGGUGAGAGAGGGAAGCAGUGCAGCGAUAGAGGCGAAAUCGUGUGACCGCGACACUGCCUCUCCGUUUGGUGGCGCCCCCGAAAGUGAGAGUUUGUAUGGCUGGUGCUGUGGCUAGCGCUGGCCGGUGGCUGGCUUUUGAAAGUUUUGAAGAUCUGGAAUCCUCGCUGCUGCUGCGACCACCACUGCUUCGUAUCUCGGAUCCUCGACACAGGAAAGUGGGAUCUUACGACCGAGGGAAAGGCGAAAGCACCGGAAGUUGAUGACGCCCGGGAAGGAGUUAUGGCGGGAUGGAUACGUGGUUAAAACAAGUUAACCGGAAGAGUACAAAAGCCGAAACAGGGAUUGAACAGGUCGGUCCCCAGUGAAAGCUGCCCGCGCGGCCUUUUGUCCGCUUGGACGUUUUGUCUUUGCUGUGGGGCCUUCCGAGCAAUGGCUGCUGCCGCGCAGUUUUGUGGUGGUGGUCACUGGUAGACACUCAAUCGCUUGCGGUUUGUAGCGAGGACGAUGAUGAUCAACGCAAGGAGCCCAUUUGACAAAACUAGCCAAUCAUUCCCGUGCACGCACACCUCUGGCAGUGUGAUAGAAUUGGCGCCUGCAAAUCUUGGGAUCCUCGAAAAGGAUGUUAAGUAUCCGUUUCCUUAUUUUAUGAGCUUAACGCAACGCAGCACUGCAAAACGCAAAACGCAAACGCAGGAAAGAGAGCUCGACUCGUGAGGAAGGACACCCCGGAGUUUGUGUAACUUCUUCUACACAUAAUCUAUUUUCAAAGUGAUAUCACAUCACGUGGAUCUAAUAAACAACACAAUAUCAGGAGUACUCGAGUGUGCCAAGACCAACCCGGGCAAGCUACAAAACAGAAACCCAACAGAAACCAAUUUUGGAGAACAGAUUCGCAAGUUGCAGCUGCGCGACAAGUCGGGGUGGCCUUCAGGACCAUCUGUGUGGCGUCCACGGGCGAUCGAUGUCUGACAACGAAAGAAAAAGAGAAAAGAAAUGGAGAAGCAGACAACAUUGAAAAGUUGGACCAUUGAGAAAAAUUCCCUAUGGCGAAUGCACGCAAGCUGUUCGGGGUGGUCUCCGUGAAAAAACGAAAUCCGUAUGAUGCGAGAAGAGAACGAUCGCCAGAUUCAGUGCUCCCUCGCUUCCUUGGAAACUCUCGCUUUGCAUCACAAACUACGAUAAAUUCUGUGGAAACUCGAAGUAACUCGAGAGGUAAGAAGCUUUGCGAUUGAAAACCUAGACUCUGAACUUUCACUUCGCUUCGAGAAACCAUACAAAAAAAGAAAGGAGGAAAAGCCAAGAACAAACUGCACGGCUUUGCGUGGGCCAUUUUACAUCUUACACCUUGUCAAAAAGCUGCAAAAGCAAAUUCACAGUGGUGGGAGAUAUCUUUGCUUCUCCACACUCCUGGAGAAUAAAAAGCGGAAUUUUCCAUCAAAAUCCUAUGUUUUCUCCCGUCAAUGUACCUUUUG